This 1680-nucleotide long non-coding RNA is filed under the name Salmo salar (Atlantic salmon). RNAcentral's name for it is "lncRNA (ENSSSAG00000094140.1)". The record is from RNAcentral. Lineage: Eukaryota; Metazoa; Chordata; Actinopteri; Salmoniformes; Salmonidae.
UGUUAGUCUUUUAUUGAGGGUUGUACCCAAGUUAUACAGCUUUGUGUUCCGACACUACGGCCAGAAGGUUUACAAACAGUUAUCAAUCUGUCUAGCGCUCGGUCCGUCGGCCCUGGAGACCAACCACCUUAUAACACUACACCUUUAGUACACAUUCUCUUAAGAGCACUAAAAUAAUCACAAAAAAAAGGGAAAAAAAAAAAAUAUAUAUAUCAUUAUUAUUAUUAUGAAAUAAAAACAAUGACAACAGAACAACAGCAUCAUGGUGGUCGUCGUGGUGACGAUGGGAGGAGACAUGGAUGACAGUGGGAGGAGCAGGCUGGAGUUUCUACCCCAAGGUAGCACGUCACAUCAGGCCUCUGUUACCAAAUAAGGAUUGUCCUUCAGAAAGUGCAGUUCCCCCCCCCCCUCCCCCGAAGAAACCACCCUGCCCCCCCCCAUCCUCCUGUCAGGAAGACACAACGCCAAAACACCCUCCCUGUAACUUUAAAGUAAGUCUUUAUUAUUAGUAAAUAUUAUAGACGUUGGGUUGUUUUCUCUGUACAUCGUUUCUUAUCAGCCUCCCGAAGCAAUGUGCAUAUUAGGUUCACAGGUCAGGAGAAUAUUCUACUCUGCAGCUCGAGGUCUGAGACUUCCAGCUGAUAGAAUUCUCAGUGAUAGAACGUCUCUAUAAAGGAGAGGAGAGGCUUCUAGAAUUCUCAGUGAUAGAACGUCUCUAUAAAGAAGAGGCUUCUAGCUUCUAGAAUUCUCAGUGAUAGAACGUCUCUAUAAAGGAGAGGAGAGGCUUCUAGAAUUCUCAGUGAUAGAACGUCUCUAUAAAGAAGAGGCUUCUAGCUUCUAGAAUUCUCAGUGAUAGAACGUCUCUAUAAAGAAGAGGCUUCUAGCUUCUAGAAUUCUCAGUGAUAGAACGUCUCUAUAAAGGAGAGGCUUCUAGAAUUCUCAGUGAUAGAACGUCUCUAUAAAGGAGAGGCUUCUAGCUGAUAGAAUUCUCAGUGAUAGAACGUCUCUAUAAAGGAGAGGAGAGGCUUCUAGAAUUCUCAGUGAUAGAACGUCUCUAUAAAGGAGAGGCUUCUAGAAUUCUCAGUGAUAGAACGUCUCUAUAAAGGAGAGGAGAGGCUUCUAGAAUUCUCAGUGAUAGAACGUCUCUAUAAAGGAGAGGCUUCUAGAAUUCUCAGUGAUAGAACGUCUCUAUAAAGGAGAGGCUUCUAGAAUUCUCAGUGAUAGAACGUCUCUAUAAAGGAGAGGCUUCUAGCUUCUAGAAUUCUCAGUGAUAGAAUGUCUCUAUCAAAAGCAGCAGUAAAUCUAUGGUUCCAGCAGUCCUCAUCUGUGUCCCAACAGAAACCAGCGGGGGGGGGGGAGGACUUUGUAAAUCUAACCUUCUGCGUGUGGCUGGUUGGUUGGCUAGUAGGUAGAAAAGGUGAUGGCACACAUGUUUUUAGGAAUACUGUGAGCCCUGGCUGCACCGUAGUCCCUACGUAGGGCAAUCCCUGUCUAUGAGUCCCUGGUUAUAAGUAGUGCACUGACAUAGGAGACCAGUGUCUUGUCUGGAACACUGCUCAGGUCUCCACUGUGGACUGGGCUUUAGAUAGAAACCCCAAAUGGACAUGGAAGGCUGGAUAACACCAUUGCAUAGUCUCUUUGUGCACCCCACUCCCCUCGUUACCCUCCCUAAUCCUCCCC